This 755-nucleotide ribosomal RNA is filed under the name uncultured bacterium. Its description in RNAcentral is "bacterial SSU rRNA". It matches the Rfam family "Bacterial small subunit ribosomal RNA", at positions 28 to 776 of the family's 1533-position model. The record is from RNAcentral.
AUUGAACGCUGGCGGCAGGCUUAACACAUGCAAGUCGAGCGGAAACGAUGGUAGCUUGCUACCAGGCGUCGAGCGGCGGACGGGUGAGUAAUACUUAGGAAUCUACCUAGUAGUGGGGGAUAGCUCGGGGAAACUCGAAUUAAUACCGCAUACGACCUACGGGAGAAAGGGGGCAGUUUACUGCUCUCGCUAUUAGAUGAGCCUAAGUCGGAUUAGCUAGAUGGUGGGGUAAAGGCCUACCAUGGCGACGAUCUGUAGCUGGUCUGAGAGGAUGAUCAGCCACACCGGGACUGAGACACGGCCCGGACUCCUACGGGAGGCAGCAGUGGGGAAUAUUGGACAAUGGGGGAAACCCUGAUCCAGCCAUGCCGCGUGUGUGAAGAAGGCCUUUUGGUUGUAAAGCACUUUAAGCAGUGAAGAAGACUCCGUGGUUAAUACCCACGGACGAUGACAUUAGCUGCAGAAUAAGCACCGGCUAACUCUGUGCCAGCAGCCGCGGUAAUACAGAGGGUGCAAGCGUUAAUCGGAAUUACUGGGCGUAAAGGGAGCGUAGGUAGCUCGAUAAGUCAGAUGUGAAAUCCCCGGGCUCAACCUGGGAACUGCAUCUGAUACUGUUGAGCUAGAGUAUGUGAGAGGAAGGUAGAAUUCCAGGUGUAGCGGUGAAAUGCGUAGAGAUCUGGAGGAAUACCGAUGGCGAAGGCAGCCUUCUGGCAUAAUACUGACACUGAGGCUCGAAAGCGUGGGUAGCAAACAGG